UGGGGAAUAUUGGGCAAUGGGCGAAAGCCUGACCCAGCCAUGCCGCGUGAGUGAUGAAGGCCUUCGGGUCGUAAAGCUCUGUGGGGAGGGACGAAAAGACCUUGGCUAAAAUCCAAGGGAACUGACGGUACCUCCUUAGCAAGCACCGGCUAACUCCGUGCCAGCAGCCGCGGUAAUACGGAGGGUGCAAACGUUGCUCGGAAUCAUUGGGCGUAAAGCGCACGUAGGCGGCGCGUUAAGUCGGGUGUGAAAGCCCUGGGCUCAACCCAGGAAGUGCAUUCGAAACUGGCGCGCUUGAAUAUGGAAGAGGGUCGCGGAAUUCCCGGUGUAGAGGUGAAAUUCGUAGAUAUCGGGAGGAACACCAGUGGCGAAGGCGGCGACCUGGGCCAAUAUUGACGCUGAGGUGCGAAAGCGUGGGGAGCAAACAGG
RNAcentral lists this ribosomal RNA (429 nucleotides) under uncultured Myxococcales bacterium. Its description in RNAcentral is "bacterial SSU rRNA". It matches the Rfam family "Bacterial small subunit ribosomal RNA", at positions 355 to 776 of the family's 1533-position model. Lineage: Bacteria; Pseudomonadati; Myxococcota; Myxococcia; Myxococcales. The record is from RNAcentral.